UCCGAAAGUUCUGGGAUUACAGGCAUGAAUCAUGAUGCCCGCUCCAGUACUAUGAUUUUUUAUACUGUUGUUUAAACACCACAGGACAUUAUUAUUGUUUUAUGAAUCUAUAUAUUCAUUUAUAUUUUUCUUCACAUUUACCCCUUUGUAUAUUUCUUCAUUCCAUUUUGCAUCUGGUAAUUCUUUCAUCAUCUUGGCAGUAUUACUUUUCUUUUGGAGUUCUACUGUUUCUGUUGCAAAGUCAUCUGUGAAUCUUAUUCCUUUUAAGAAAAUGUGUACCCUACCCCACUCUACCCCCAGCUGCUUUUAUUUUCCCUUUGUUUUGGGUUUUAAACAGUUUUACUAUGAUGUCUCUAGGUGAAUCUGUGAUUUGGUGUCUUUCAUUAUUUUUGGAAAAUUCUCAGGCAUAAUCUCUUCUUCUAUCACUUUUGCCCCAAUUGUCUCUUUCCUCGCCUACUCAGGGCUUUUCACCAUUAGCCAUACGUGUGUUAGAUUCUUUUCUGUUUUGUUGUUUUAUUCGUUUUUUCUCUUCAUGCUCAUUCUGGAUUUUUAUUGACCUAUUUUGUAAUUCACUGAACUUGUCUUCAGCUAUGUCUAAGCUGUCAUUUAACUCAUUUACUGCGUUCUUAAUUUCAGUUCUAUUAUUUUUAAUUUCUACAAGUUCCAUUUAAUUAUUUUUACUGAUUUGGACCCUCUGCUGAAAUUCAUCAUCUUGUAUAUUUUCUAGAGCAUAUUAAUUACAGUUACUUACAAGUAAUUUGGAAGCCCAUGCUUGAUAAUUCUUAAUACAGUUUCCACUUUUCUAUUUUCAGUCAUUUGGUCUUAUCUUUUAGCAUGGUCAAUAAUUUUUGUCUGAAUGCCUGACAUGUGAAUGAAAAAUUAUUGAGUUGAUGACAUUAACUCUUGAUACUAUCUUUUUUUCACAGACAGUUUUCUUUUUGCUUCUAGCAAACAGUUUGGAUAAGAGCAGAUCAGUGUGGCAAUUAGCUGAUGAAACAGCUGAGCUUUAGUCCUUUUGAGGGUUGGUAUAUUUACUUUUCAUUCAAGGUUCUUUCACCUUGAUUGAUCCUGAACUUGUUUUUGUAUUCCCAGACAUGUAAGACAGCCUAAAAUUCUGCUCACCUUUUCAACCUCUGGUCCUCUGUUUUCUGCUCAUUCAAGGUUCUUUCACCUUGAUUGAUCCUGAACUUGUUUUUGUAUUCCCAGACAUGUAAGACAGCCUAAAAUUCUGCUCACCUUUUCAACCUCUGGUCCUCUGUUUUCUGCUCAUUAUUUCCCACUAUUUAGCUUCUUAGCCUUAGGCUACUGCUUAUGAAUUGGCAGUUGCCUCAAGGGGAAAACAGGUGCUAAAUGUCAUUCUCACCUUUGCACUUCCCUUUUGGACACGGUCUUGACCCUUCAAUUUCUUACUACCUUGGUGGCUCUCUUGUUUAAGCGGAUAUCCUCAUCUAUGUUUCUGUAUCUGUAAGUGUAUCUCAUUUUUGAGUAGAGUCACUGGCCUGACAAAAGUAUAUUCUAGCCAAAAUAAGAGAAGUCCCCACAAUUUGUUUAAUGACAAAAGCUCCACUAGAGAGAAGCAGUUACCUAGAUAAGUCUUAGAAUGUCAAUUCCAUUCUUUCUCUUUGCUUUUUGUGGAUAAUGUAUAACCUUUAUAGCAGUCAUAUAUGCACAUACAAUGUUUUGGUAUCCCUGCUUGAGCACUUUUGGAAAACCUUUACCAUCUGUGCCUUAAAUCCAUGUAGAGCUUGUGAACACAAAAUAUGUGAGACAGGUCUCAGUCAAUUUAGGAAGUUUAUUUUGCCAAAGUUAAGGAUGUGCCCAUGGCAUAGCUUCAGGAAGUCCUGAGACACGUGCCCAAGGUGUUUGGGGGUACAGUUUGCUUUUAUACAUUUUAGGGAGACAUGAGACAGCUAUGUGUAAGAUGUACAUUAGUUCAGUCCGGUAAGGCAGGACAACUCGAAGUGGCCCCGUUAGAAGUAGGUAAGACGCAAAAGGUUGCAUUCUUUUAAGUCGUAGAUCAGCCUUCCACUGAAUACACAAUUUAGUCUGGUUCAGUGGAUCUGCAUUUUCACAGAAACAAUAGGAGAGAGGAAGCAAUCAGAUAUGCGUUUGUUUCAGGUGAGCCUCAGACGGAUGACUUUGAAUAGAAGGGGAGGCAGGUUUGCCCUAAGCAGCUCCCAGCUUGACUCUUCCCAUUAGCUUAGUGAUUUUGGGGUCCCUAGAUUUAUUUUACUUUCACAAGCUUUUAUAUGCAGUCACCAACUCAAGCUUAGCUACACAGAGGCUGGGAUGUGAAAGCACUGGUUAAGUCAGCUGUGGAUCGCACAUGCCCUUUCUAUCUGAUCUCUUCAAACCAGGAUACCAUCUGGCUUGGUUCAGAAACUUUCACUGUAUACUUUAGUUUGAAUUUAACUUUUUUUUUUUUUUAACCUUCGAUACUUUGGCUGACUUUAUGACUAUUUUAAUUCACAAAAGAGACUCACCUUAAGAGACAUUAUAAUACUCAAUUUAUUGCAGGGUAAGAAAACAUAAACAAGUCAAUCCGUGGGCUAAAGUUUUUCUUUGGCCAAAUCGUCACCAUUGUCUUUAUUAAGACUAGGACACCCUUUAAAAGGGCUUCCUGACUAAGUAACGAUUGCCUUUCACUUCACUGUACACCCCUCCACUCUCCAGAUAAGUUCAUCAGUUUAACUUCAUCCAAUAUACACAAGUGAAUGCACCUUAAUUAAUUAGCAGAAAUACUAAUUGAUACACAUUUAUUCUUAAAUCCUAGAUGCAGUAUGUACCCUUAUAUCUAAAAGAGAGGUUAGCACAAUAGUGCACACCAAGACAUUUCAAGAGGUACUUGUGCAAGGAGAAUUUUAAUCCAUUUUCAUUUCCUCCACUUCCUCGAUACUCUUUCCAAAAUUUGAUCUUCCCAUUUAUAUACCUGUCUCAGACUGGUUCUCUUUUCCCACCUGCCCCUUUCACAUAUGUCCUUUUUUAAAAGAAAGGCAUAAUUUUCACCCAUCUUUCUCAGUUUCACCAUUGUCAAGGUGGGAAAAGCAAAACAAACAAACAAAAAACCCUUCCAGUCUAUACAGGUCAUUUGAAAAUGUGUUGAGAAAGAGACUCCAAUAAUGGCUAACCCUUUUUUGCAACUCACUGGUUUUCAGUUAUUUGCUUUCAAUAAAAUUAAACAAAAGCCUAGGCAGGCUGUCAGCCAUUAAAUCAUUAAAAUUUAUUUCAUUUUUGACGUAUUACUAAAAAAAUUGAUGGAUGCAGUGGCACUGAGUGACAAAGAAUUGAAUUAUUACAAAUCUCCAUUCUCUGGAUAAAGAAAAUGUACUACAUAGUGGAGUGCUAUUCAGCCAUAAAAAAGAAUGAGAUUCUGUCAUUUGCAACAACAUGGAUGGAACUGGACGUUAUUACGCUAAGUGACUUAAGCCAGGCAUAGGAAGGCAAACAUUGCAUGUUCUCACUUAUUUGUGGGAUCUAAAAAUCAAAACAAUUGAACUCAUGGACAUAGGGAGUAGAAGGAUGGUUACCAGAGACUGAGAAGGGUAAUGACACAGGGGGUGGGGUGGGGGUUGGAGGUGGGGAUGGUUAAUAGGUACAAAAAAAUAGAAUGAAUAAUACCUAGUAUUUGAUAGCACAACAAGGUGACUAUAGUCAAUAAUAAUUUAAUUUACAAGUUAGAAUAACUAGAGGAAUAUAAUUGUAUUGUUUGUAACACAAAGGAUAAAUGCUUGUGGGGAUGGCUACCCCAUUUUACAUGAUAUGAUUAUUACACACUGCUUGCCUGUAUCAAAAAUCUCAUGUACCCCAUAAAUAUAUACACCCAUGUACCCAUGAAAAUUAAAAGUUAAAACAAAAACGGAACAAAACUACAUUCUCAUCUAUUUGUUUUACAUUAAAAAUGAUCUCAUCUAUAGAUAGGAAAAAUGGGAAUGUAAUUUAUGUUGACUGCUAUGUCAUGCUAGUUAUAAAUCAUAUAUACCCACGGAAAGAUGAACUAAAAAAAACACUACAAAUUGGUCUUGAUUCUCAGAUGAAUUUCCAGUAAGAUUUUUAAUGUUUUAUGUGUAAUACUUGUGUGUAAAAAUAUUCAUGUUUGUGAUAUUAUCUACUGCAUUCUAAUAGUUACUGUAAUAAUUUAGAAAAAAGUUAUUUUUAAGUGCUAGAGAAGUAGACUUCACAUUUUGGACAGAGAGGUGUCAAAGAAUGUAUGGACAUGCUUAAAAUCCCCACAAUGCAGG
RNAcentral lists this long non-coding RNA (4238 nucleotides) under Homo sapiens (human). Its description in RNAcentral is "long non-coding RNA NONHSAT191353.1". Lineage: Eukaryota; Metazoa; Chordata; Mammalia; Primates; Hominidae. The record is from RNAcentral.